RNAcentral lists this microRNA precursor (84 nucleotides) under Cebus imitator (Panamanian white-faced capuchin). RNAcentral's name for it is "miRNA (ENSCCAG00000015635.1)". The record is from RNAcentral. Lineage: Eukaryota; Metazoa; Chordata; Mammalia; Primates; Cebidae.
GGGAAAGCAGGCCAACCUCGAGGAUCUCCCCAGCCUUGGCGUUCAGGUACUGGGGAGAUCCUCGAGGUAGGCCUGCUUCCCCUC